GACGAACGCUGGCGGCGUGCUUAACACAUGCAAGUCGAACGGUGAAGCGCCUUCCUUUUUGGUGGGUGUGGAUGAGUGGCGAACGGGUGAGUAACACGUGAGUAACCUGCCCCCUUCUUCUGGAUAACCUCAUGAAAGUGUGGCUAAUACGGGAUAUUCUGGGUCUGUCGCAUGAUGGGUCUGGGAAAGAUAUUGUUUCGGUGGGGGAUGGGCUCGCGGCCUAUCAGCUUGUUGGUGGGGUGAUGGCCUACCAAGGCGGUGACGGGUAGCCGGCCUGAGAGGGUGGACGGUCACACUGGGACUGAGACACGACCCAGACUCCUACGGGAGGCAGCAGUGGGGAAUAUUGCACAAUGGGCGCAAGCCUGAUGCAGCGACGCCGCGUGAGGGAUGGAGGCCUUCGGGUUGUGAACCUCUUUCGCCAGUGAAGCAGGCCUGCCUCGUUUGUGGGUGGGUUGACGGUAGCUGGAUAAGAAGCGCCGGCUAACUACGUG
RNAcentral lists this ribosomal RNA (494 nucleotides) under uncultured bacterium. Its description in RNAcentral is "partial 16S ribosomal RNA". It matches the Rfam family "Bacterial small subunit ribosomal RNA", at positions 28 to 507 of the family's 1533-position model. The record is from RNAcentral.